GGAUAUUCAGGCGGAGUCUGACCUCUGAGUAGCCUUGCUAAUAAGCGCCCUACAGUAGGCAAGAACAGGCGAGUGACACUCAUGACAAUGUUGCUCCACUAUGAUCCAUUUAUGUUGAGCUUUGGCCUAUUCUCACUGAAGAACAAGGACAGCCACACUACAACAAGGACAAGCCAUUCUACAGGAAGGACAAGCAGCUGCCAGGAGGAGAGGCAGGGGCUCCCAGUUCCCAGGGACACACAGCUAACUCAUCCCACCAUGUCUCAACUCAGAAUGCAGCAAGCAAACCUGCAUAGAUUCCCUGGGCAGCCCUCACAGGUCAGAAUUGAAACCUAAAACACUGCAUACUGCAAGUUGGCUCCUCUAGCA
This is a long non-coding RNA of Heterocephalus glaber (naked mole-rat), 369 nucleotides long. The record is from Ensembl. Lineage: Eukaryota; Metazoa; Chordata; Mammalia; Rodentia; Bathyergidae.